UUCUCGUCUUGUUUUCGGUGCCUCGGCCGCGCUGGCCAUUUGGGCCAUCGUCCGACGCCCGGCCCUGCCCGGGGAGGGGUGACAGAGAGAAAGCCCCGGCAGGAACCGGGGAGGGAUGCUCGGGGUCCCCUCCGCGCACAAACCAGGCCCGUCGUCCCUGAAGGCUAUUUUAUCGCUAUUUACCCGGGCGCAUCGCCUCCUCCCGGUGAGGGAAAUGGGAGAUGUCCCGCAGGAGCUGUAGCUGGGGCUGUGCCAGAGGAACGAUUGCCGGCCCCGGUGUCGUGUCGCGGUGACACAGCCUCUGUCCGUGCUCCGCAGGUGCGGCGGGGCGGAGCCGGCCCGUGGGCGUCCCGCGGGCGACGGACUGCUGCUCAAGGUUCUGCGCCGGAGAUUUGCAACUACAGGCUGAGGUAUGCAGGGAGCCUGGUCAAUACCUACGGGGAAGAUGACUUUUAAGCUUACAUGUCUUCUAAACAGCAGUAUAGUCCUGAGCAGAGACACUUCCUCAUGCAGCAAAAUUAAUGCUCUUUUCUAACGUACAAUCUGUUUAGCUGACAAGCCUGCACCAGCUUUAAUAAACUCACAGUAUAUCCCUCCCA
This 599-nucleotide long non-coding RNA is filed under the name Junco hyemalis (dark-eyed junco). RNAcentral describes it as "lncRNA (ENSJHYG00000011173.1)". The record is from RNAcentral. Lineage: Eukaryota; Metazoa; Chordata; Aves; Passeriformes; Passerellidae.